AUACGGAGGGUGCAAGCGUUAUUCGGUAUCACUGGGCGUAAAGGACGCGUAGGCGGGUUGGCAAGUCAGACGUGAAAUCCUACAGCUUAACUGUAGAACUGCAUUUGAAACUGCUAACCUAGAGUAUGGGAGGGGGAGAUGGAAUUAGUGGUGUAGGGGUAAAAUCCGUAGAUAUCACUAGGAAUACCGAAAGCGAAGGCGAUCUCCUGGAACAUAACUGACGCUAAGGCGUGAAAGCGUGGGGAGCAAACAGGAUUAGAUACCCUAGUAGUCC
This 274-nucleotide ribosomal RNA is filed under the name uncultured bacterium. RNAcentral's name for it is "partial 16S ribosomal RNA". It matches the Rfam family "Bacterial small subunit ribosomal RNA", at positions 523 to 796 of the family's 1533-position model. The record is from RNAcentral.